RNAcentral lists this non-coding RNA (24 nucleotides) under Arabidopsis thaliana (thale cress). The record is from RNAcentral. Lineage: Eukaryota; Viridiplantae; Streptophyta; Magnoliopsida; Brassicales; Brassicaceae.
ACACUGACCUAUGGAAUCUAUUGC